Molecule: non-coding RNA, 222 nt
Organism: Burkholderia cenocepacia J2315
Lineage: Bacteria; Pseudomonadati; Pseudomonadota; Betaproteobacteria; Burkholderiales; Burkholderiaceae
Source: Rfam
AAAGUCCUUUACGAUGAAGAACUAGCGAAUCACAUCGACCCCGAGUCAUGCGGGGGCACUCGCGAGGGUGUCACCGAAGCGUUGACAGGGGCGCACGUAGGCCAGCCAUUGAGCGACGAAAGACUUCCCAAUCGGAGUGCUGAUGCUUUCCAGUCAGCAGAAGGCAAUACGUCCCGCCGCGAUAUCGCGAGUGGCGGGCGGCUCCGCGUCGUCUGUAGACCC